Molecule: non-coding RNA, 577 nt
Organism: Xyrichtys novacula (pearly razorfish)
Lineage: Eukaryota; Metazoa; Chordata; Actinopteri; Labriformes; Labridae
Source: the annotation of a GenBank genome assembly
CUGGAGCCGAAGAAACUUCUGAUCCAGGAUUAGACAAGUUGUUGCUCACACAAUGCUGGACCUUUAACCGGUAUGUAUUUGUCUUCAGCAGUCACAUCAUUUCUCUGUGUUCACCUGAUGUUACAACCUUCUCUUCUCUCUGUACAUCACAGAAGUCAACAUGAGCUGAUGAACUAGAAAAGUCCUGCAGAUCUUGACUGUGGCUUCUUAGAACCAAGCUCCAAGUCUACAGCAGAGAAGGGUUCUGACCUGGGGAGCAACAGCUCUGAACUUCACCAAGUAUGUUUCAUCUUCAAAAUCUUUGACUUUUCCACACUACAACCAGGUACAACCUUUCCUCUUAACUCAUCACAGAACCAGCUCGUCAUGAGCCACAGAGCCAAACCCAGCAAUCAUGUGACCCUGGAGCCAUGUGAUCUCUGCUGAGCUUGGAACUCUAAAAUACUGCAUGCUCAGCCGUCCUGGUAGGGGAUCCCUCUAAGACCUGGCCUACCUAUAGGUUUCUUCCUCUUAUCCCGAGACCUGGCCCACCUAAAGGUUUCUUCUUCUUGUCCUGAGAAAGCAUUUUUGGGGGGAG